Molecule: long non-coding RNA, 660 nt
Filed under: Fukomys damarensis (Damara mole-rat)
Lineage: Eukaryota; Metazoa; Chordata; Mammalia; Rodentia; Bathyergidae
Description: lncRNA (ENSFDAG00000026737.1)
Source: RNAcentral
UGGGCCGCCCCCUGCCGUGUGGGGGGCACGUGAAGGCGUGGAAGGAGGUGGGGAGGAGGGCGGGAUCCAGGCCGCCUAUUGGCUGGGCUGGGGGGCGGCCCAGAGGGCUGAAGUUUGCAGCGAGGAGCAGGCCACCGCCGGCCGUCCAGGGGCCGUUGUUGCUCUACAGGCCUUCGGAGGUGCGAAGGUUGGAGGACAUGACGAGGAAGUUGGGCGGUGUGGCAGGUGUGUUGCUGGGCGCAUACAUCUUCCGGGUAUACAAAGCCAAGAGUUUCUUGAUAAAUGUGUUAAUAAUUCAGUGCCCACGGAAGUAAAGAACACCCAGAAACAGAGCCUAUGGGGUAAAAGAGCCUGACGGAGGCUAAGCCAUGUCUUGAGUCAAAUGGUAAGCACUAAGGUUGAGAGUAAACACAAAUUUUCCCUAAAAGAGGAGAUAUAUUCUCUAAACAAUGAUAGGUAAAAUAAAGCUGUUUUGGAGUUCAGUGUAGAGGACUGAGAUGUUUCCAAAAGACAAAUUAGGGGCUGUCACAGCGUCAUGAAGAAUGAGACUGUCAGCAGCGACAAGAAAAGAAUUAGUGACAAAGGCCCAGAGUUGUGAAGCCAAGGUUUAUGUCUCUCCCAGCCAGCAGGGAAGUAAAGAGGAGUGUCAAAGGUGACAGG